Long non-coding RNA from Patiria miniata (bat star), 3531 nucleotides. RefSeq lists it as uncharacterized. NCBI's taxonomy places the organism in Eukaryota, Metazoa, Echinodermata, Asteroidea, Valvatida, Asterinidae. The transcript has 3 exons. The record is from RefSeq and is a predicted model, not a curated record.
CCAUCUGUUGAGUUGCAUCUCACUGUGAAACGCUGGAGCUGGUCAUUGCACUGCAGCCACAGUUGAGACAAGACUUUCCCUUACUCCCCCUGGUGAUUCCUGACCGGCUCAUCACCGUAUAUUCCCUCCCCCCUUCCUCUACCCUUUAUCCCCAACCUCCAUCCCCACCCUCCAUCCCCACCUUCAGUCCCCUUUGUCCAUCCCCUUUCUAUCAUCAUUCGCACGCACUGGUCCAUGUCUACUUUUCCUUCUCCCUCCAUCCUCUAUUCAUUUCUUCUGUCACUUGCACGCACCGUUUCAUUUCUACCUUUUCUCCUCCCUGUUUCCUCUCUUCUCCACCCCUACUUUGCAUUUUGCACGCACCAUCUAAUUUCUACUCCCCCCCCCCCCCCCUCCUUCUGCUCUCUACUAACAUGGGAUCAUGACAGCUACCUUCCCGGUGGUGAUCCUGUUAAGGGAAGUUUUCCUGAUAAAGGGAAAUUUCCCGAACUAAAGCUGUCAAAUAGGGGAUGUUUGUUCGCUGGAUCAUUUGGAAUGGUGAUCAACUUUAAUCUCCAUUAAGUCUUUAUAAUGGAGGACAUGAGGAUUAUUUCAUGUUGUGUUAUGCAAUUUCGUAUUGAGUCAAAAGAAAGUUUCCAAAUUUGAAAUAAUCUUGCUUCAUUUCACACACAAAAUGUAGGGAUAUUCUUAUUAACUUUUAUCCGAAAAAAUCACGUAAUUUGCAUACUAUAGUUUUGCACACUUAUUCCUAAGUUAUGUCUAUUUCAUUGAAAAGAUCACAAAACUGGGCUGUCAACCACGUAUCAAUUAUUGUUCUAUGAACCGAUUAAUGCCUAUUGAGUACAAUGAAACGUAAACAAGUCAAUUGUAACUCCAGAUAGCAUUGAUCAAUCGCAGUCAUUUGUUUUUAAAUGAGUGGAAAAUGUUCUUUUCAGACAUGUUCAUUGAAGUUUCAAAUCUUUUUUUAAAGAUACAAAAUCAUUGAUUUGGGUAGCUUUCUUUCUGGCUAACCGUGUAUAAUCGCACAAUAGUGAACAAAUACCCCCUUACCCGCACUGGCUACGGACGGGCGGCAUCAGAUAAUUAUGAUAUGAGUUAAGAUAAUUAUGAUGUCGGUUUUUUGGGAAGGACCCCAAACCUAUUUUAUCUACCGCAUUUACUGUACACACAUUCGCAAGUGCCCUCUAUCUAGUGAGGCCAAACCAGUGCAAUACACAUGCCACGCAAGUGUUAUUGAGUUUUCCACCAGCCUAGCGAGUGCACUGCACUGCAAAAAGCCUGCGAAAUAAUCAUCUCUCACAAGGAUUUUGACUCCAGGAACAGAGGCCUCAUCGCUGACUAAGGACUCAGCAAGGAUUCAUCGUGGGCCAGGACCUGCGGAGUACUUGAAGUUGUCGAGCCUGGUGAGAAUGAGACGGCUCUUUUGAAAAUCAACCGCCAUGACCGCACCUUCAUUUUCAAGGCCUUCACCGCGCUCAAGUUUUACAUGCACAGGAAAACCAGUGAACUGAGAUUUGACUGGUCUUUACUUUCAAAACUCAAACUUAGUUGCUCCAUGAGUUGCUUGCGGUUCACUCCAUCUUCAAUCUCAUACAUGUAUCUGCCAUGUAGCGCGUCUUUAUGGGAGGCUGUAUCUGGACAGAUGCUGUGUACAUAGAUGGUACCUAUUGAUCUUCUGCCAUGGGAACCAAGGUGCAGACAGGCAGCUCAGGAUGUCUGUGAUGGAUGAGGCACCAUCCUGAGGUCAUCAACACAUCUUCUCUGGCUUCUCUCAGGAUGAUUGAGUGCUCCAAACUGAAGAGACUUACCUUUGCAAACCAUGCUUAGGCAGGAUUGGACCAGACCAGUGCCUAGACUAUCGUGAAUGACUGCCUGCUGAGGCUUUUCCCUGGCGGCAUCGAAGCCAUCCACACCAUAACCCAUGAUGCCCUGGCCUGGAUGUCUACCUUGGCCUACACGCCAUAUGAAAGAAGUGCCUAGAUUAGGCAGGGCAGGCUGGAUGAUCAUCACCAUGAUGACUGAGAUGACCUUAAGGAUGACUGAUCACAUGACUGAGAUGCUGAGUCCUGGUGGAGGUUUCCUUGGUCUCAUUUGGAAGACUGCUGACAGGACUUGGCUGGACUGGAUCAAGUGGCUGCUGUUGGAGCAAACUUUGAGCAAAUCCUUGGCAAUGAGAGGUCCCAAUCCAAUCAUACAAGAUAAUAUUCCGAGUCUAAAAAUUUAAGCAAGGAAAGAGAAAUACCAGACAAGAAUAAAUCACCUUUUUCCAAUAAGAAAAGUUCGCAGUUAGAACCAUGUAACGAAACUCUUUUGUGAGUUAGUGAGGUUCUUUGCCAUGCAAUCCUUCAAUUGUUAUCUCAUGUUUUUCCCAACUAUUGUGAGGCAGCACAUGUACUUUCAUUGCCAAGGGUUUGCUCUUAUGAUUGAUUAAUUUGAAUUAGUUGUCCAGGCACAUGUCACAAAAGUCUGAAAUGUUUUCAAAAUUAAUAAGGAUAAGCACAUUACAACCCACCCCUCCAAAAAACCCUCCACUCCUUAUAACGUUUUUGUUAAGACGUAAAGUUUGAACUCGUGCAAAAGUACAAACCUUAUGAAUUGCAUUAACUGUGAUGCUCUCUAGACUUUUCAUUUUUGAUUCCGAGUGUUUGUAACUCAAAAUGAAGGUCUAAAACAGACAAAUUUGUUGACAUGUGCCUGGGCUGUUGUCUUUAACUGAAAAAAAGUUAAGCUGAAAAUUGAUAAUUGUAUAGAUCUACAAUGGCACAUUAUAAUCAUUGAUCAAUAUAAAUUGAUCAAUUUGGCAGUUUUAUAAAUGUUAAAUUGUAAACAGAGGUAUGCAGAUUAUAUUAAUAACACAUUAAUAGUUGAAUUCGGAUGUGAUGAUGUUCUGUUUGAUCUCUGCCAUUGUAUCCUUUUUACUGCUUGAUUUUUGAUAAUUUUGGAUGGCAGUGAUACCAUUUGUUUAAAUAUAUACUUUGAAAUCAUGAAAUAUUUUAUCAACUUAACUGUUAAUGAAUCUGUUUCCGACAUUUCAGAGAAAAGAGUUCUAUUAAUGAGAAGAAAAAAAACAAUGCAUGACCAAUUUUUAUUGAGGUAAAGAAUGUAACAUUUUGUAUUUUUAUAUCAUGCCUUUAGUCACAAAUUGAAUGUAUUUGGCAAGGUAAUAUUUAUUGGUAAGGUAAUAUAUUAUAAUGUGCCAUUGUAGAUUCAUUUGCUACUUUAAUUAAAAUGAGGUUUCUGUGGUGUGAUGGUGUUUUUCUUUUGGACAUAUCUGCUGUCUAUUUGUACAAGUUUGCAGCACAGAACAUUGCUAUCAUAUCCUGUUGGAUAAAUUCCAUAUUUUCUAUGCUACGAUUCAAAAGAAAUUGGUUAUACAAGUAUACAAGAAGGGCUAAUUUGACACAAUUUACUGCAGAAACAGCGAAAAAAAUUUAAGCUAUUCGUGGAUUUCAGUAUUUCAAGGAAAAAGUACAAAUUUGGCAAUUUGAAAUUUGAAAACUAGAAAAAUUUAAGUUGUAUUUUUAAGAUUUU